GACAAUGAUGAAGAGCCAUACAACAGUAUUAGGCAGGAGGAAAAUAUGGAUCUUGAUCUAAUGAGAUGAGAUGUAAACAUUUGCUGCACAGUGAAAGUAUUGUACCUGAAGAAAGCUUUUGAAUCUGGCUUCUGUUUUUAAUGUUGUUGUUUUUUUGGGGGGUAAUUAAAAAGAGACAAAUAUUUGUGCCAGAAAAUAUAAGAGGACUCCAGGAGGCAGAGCAGCUCAUCUAACUGAGAUCAGUGGCUCGACAAACCAGUUAAGAAAUUUUGUGGGCAUUUUCAAAAGAACACAAAAAGUACCUGAAGAGCCAUCCAGACCAGAACAUAUCUGAACUUAGCUGAGAAAUGAUUUCAAAAGUAGACUUCCACUGGGAAUGUCAAUGAGAAUUUGAGCCUACAGCUCUCUGGUUGCUCUGGUUCCUCGGGUAAUCUAUCAGCUGGGAGAUUCUUUUCAAGAUCUGCUUGCCAUGAUAUAUAUCUGGAACCACACAUGUGGAACAGGAUAAUAGACCUCUAUUCUGCAUCUGUCUGGCAAAUCCUGUGUCUGCAGCUCUCAGUGUCUGGCAAACCUGCUUCCUCUGUCUGGAUAUAAAUAAGUUCAGACAAAGGUUUCUGUAAGGAUCCUGGGUUUUUCCUACAUUUUUAAACAGUUGUAAAUCUGCAUUUUGCAACAUAUCCACUGUGCUGAUAUACCUGAUCCGGUUAAUGCCAAAAACUACAGUAUGAAAACACAGUAAAAGUCCUGUCAUAUCGAUGCAUAAAACUUAAUGUCCUGUUUCUAUUUGUGGUUUAAAUACUGUUCAUGUUCUGUGAUUGAAAGGAAGUUUGCAGUGAAAGAAAUUCACAUAAGAAAAUGAAAACCCUUACCUAGAAGAGGAAGAACUCAGUAAUAGUGUAAAAUCCUUUCUGUACAUAGGAUUUAUUAAUAUUUUGCUGCUGGUGGCAUUCAUCUCUCUUCUUUAGACAGCUCAUUAAACAACUGCUAAAGUGUUUAAUAAAUUAAUUUAUGAUAAUAAAUUAACAGCUUACCCAAGAUCAGAAACAUUUUGACCAUUCAAUUAUCCACAGUUCCCCAGGGCUCCCGUAGUACCACAACCUUAUAGCUGGUAAAGCAGGCAAUACAUAAAGGAUUUUUACUGAUAAUUACAUUAGGUAUAUUGCAUUUUUUUCCUCUUUAAAUAUGAUGCUGCAGGGUUAUGGACUCCACAGAAUAGUUUCUAAAGCAAUAUUGACUUAACUCUAAGUCAUUAAUAAUAUAAUUAGUAUGAUCUCUAAAGGAUGCCAACCUGAAGUUAUCCUAUGUUUUCAAACUGCAAACAUGAAUUAAAUAUAUGGCAAACCAACCUUA
Anas platyrhynchos (mallard) is the source of this 1350-nucleotide long non-coding RNA. RefSeq lists it as uncharacterized. The record is from RefSeq and is a predicted model, not a curated record. NCBI's taxonomy places the organism in Eukaryota, Metazoa, Chordata, Aves, Anseriformes, Anatidae.